Molecule: non-coding RNA, 2548 nt
Organism: Arvicanthis niloticus (Nile rat)
Lineage: Eukaryota; Metazoa; Chordata; Mammalia; Rodentia; Muridae
Source: RefSeq, a predicted model, not a curated record
AGGGUGGCUGUACAGCAAGAUGAGGGCAGUUUGGAGCCCUGCCUAAGAGGAAGGUCGGGGCCACAGCAGAUUGCUGUGUCCCCACAGACCCGGGCCUUCUGCUGCCCAUCAUGGCCAAAAGUGGAGAGGCUCUACCACAGGGCAGCCCAGCGCCAGUCCAGGAUUCCCAGCUCAUCCGGGUGACGGUGAAGACACCCAAGGACAAGGAGGAUUUCUCAGUUGUAGACACAUGCACCGUCGGGCAGCUAAAGGAAAAGAUAUCACACCGCUUUAAGGCACAUCCAAAUCAGCUGGUCCUGAUCUUUGCGGGAAAAAUCCUCAAGGACCCUGACUCAUUGGCACAGUGUGGAGUGCGAGAUGGCCUCACAGUUCACCUGGUUAUCAAGAUGCAGCGUCGGACCACAGGCACCGAAUGCCCAGCACCACCAGUCUCUACUCUAGGCCUAAAUCCUGGAGAACUCCCUCAGUCAAGUUCUGUUUACCCUGUGGAUGGGUCUCCUUCUUUCAGCUUAGGGGUCCUCACAGGCCUCAGUAGAUUAGGUUUGACCUCAGGUAGCUUCUCUGACCAGCCAGGAUCAUUAAUGUGGCAGCACAUCUCAGUGCCUGAACUUGUGGCUCAGCUUGUUGAUGACCCUUUCAUUCAGGGUCUGCUGUCCAACACAGGCCUAGUGCGCCAAUUUGUUCUUGACAAUCCUCACAUGCAGCAACUGAUCCAGCAGAACCCUGAGAUUGGUCAUAUUCUUAACAACCCCGAGAUCAUGCGGCAGACAAUGGAGUUUCUACGUAACCCUUCCAUGAUGCAGGAGAUGAUGCGUAGUCAGGAUCGUGCACUCAGUAACCUGGAAAGCAUCCCUGGUGGCUACAAUGUGCUCCGUACCAUGUACACAGAUAUUAUGGAUCCCAUGCUUAACGCAGUACAAGAGCAAUUUGGUGGUAAUCCUUUUGCUACUGCUACUACUGCUAGUACCACCACCACCAGCAGCCAACCAUCAAGGACAGAGAAUUGUGACCCUCUUCCCAAUCCCUGGACUUCCACAUAUGGGGUCUCAGGUGGCAGACAAGGGACAGGUGGCAGACAGCCUGGGGAACAGGAUGCACCCGAGAGUAGAAAUAGGCUUCCAAGCUUUCUGGGUAGCAUAGGACUCUUUGAUUAUCUCCAACAAUUACAUGAGACUUCUCAGUCCCUGGGAUCGUAUCUGCAGGGUACUGUGCCAACUCCAAACCCAAGCCAGGAAGCACCACUAUCAGGAAACAGAGUUCCACCAACUUUACCCUCAUCCCCUAAACCUGGGUCAGGCCAGCCUCUGCCCAAAGAGUCAGUAGCAAUCAAGGGAAAGUCAUCAUGCCCAGCUUUCUUGAGACACUCAUCUGAGAAGAGUACUGGACAAGGUGGAAGCCUACAUGAUGCAGGGAAGGGCUCUACUGGCCCAAGUACCGGCCUGCCCAAUCUUACCUCUCAGAUAGGAGAUUCUGCCAACAGGUCUCCGUUUGUUUCUACACCAUCUUCUCUUAUGUCAGCCACUCCUGGAGUCCCAGAAUCUCCCUGGCUUCCUCCAACAGGUUACCCAAGAUCUCUGAGAUCAGCUGGCACAAAUCAAGUCCCUCGAAUGCAGAAUGAGAUACACCAACAGCUCCCAUUACUGUUGCACCUUCAGACAGCCAUGGCAAAUCCCCGUGUCAUGCAAGCCCUGCUGCAGAUUGAACAGGGUCUGCAGAUUCUGGCUACUGAAGCACCCCGCCUCCUGCUCUGGUUCAUGCCCUGCCUAACAGGGUUGAGUGGAGUAACAGGAGGUACAGAAUCUAGAGAAGGUGCUGUUAUGUCUGAGGAUCCCCGACCAACCCCCCCAACUCCUCAGAUUUCCCUAGCACAGGGUUCUGCAGAGCUAAGUUUCCAUUCCUCCCCCUUCCUCCAGGUGUUGCAAGCCUUAGCUAGUACCAAUCCCCAGCAGCUACAACUGGAGGCUCACUUCCGGGUACAAUUGGAGCAACUACGGGCUAUGGGCUUUCUGAAUCUUGAAGCCAAUCUCCAGGCCCUCAUUGCUACAGGGGGUGAUGUAGAUGCUGCUGUGGAGAAACUGAGGAAGUCUUAGGAGCUCUAGUUAUUUGGACCAUAUCUUUUCCUUUGUGCCUUUCCCCCAUGUCUUAUUACCCUAGUUCUCCUAUUCUUGAAUACAGCUGCACUAUAAACCAAAUUACUAUGAUGUUCUUUACUGUGGAGACAAUGUUCUGGAGUCGAUAAGGAAGAUGACAAGCCAGAAAUAAGGAGCUCUCCAGAGUUGACUGAGUGCUUGGAAUCUUUGCUGUAGCUUCAUUGGAGAUUGAUUUACCCAGCACCAUGGUGGUAUACCUGGAGGAAACAGAUCAUCCUGGGGGCAGAGAAAGUUGCUGCCUUCUACCCAGCCACUAAGAGGUCCCAAGGCCUGUUCCCAGAACCUACAUUGGAUAGCUUGAGCCUCCUGCUCCAAGGAAAUCUCAGUCUUCUGGGGCUGCAGUUAUCUAUCUGCAUAUACAUGGCAUAUAUACGCAGAGAUAUGUAUAAAUAAACAUC